UAAUUGAAGAGUUUGAUCAUGGCUCAGAUUGAACGCUGGCGGCAGGCCUAACACAUGCAAGU
This 62-nucleotide non-coding RNA is filed under the name Proteus mirabilis. Its description in RNAcentral is "partial 16S ribosomal RNA". It matches the Rfam family "Bacterial small subunit ribosomal RNA", at positions 1 to 62 of the family's 1533-position model. The record is from RNAcentral. Lineage: Bacteria; Pseudomonadati; Pseudomonadota; Gammaproteobacteria; Enterobacterales; Morganellaceae. RNAcentral also lists the same sequence under 18 other names.